CUGGUCAUUGUUCUGGCCAUGGAUGGGAUGAUGUCCUUCCAAACAUCCAGUUGGACUUUAGGCUCAAAGAAGAGCUCCAGUCUUCACCUUCACUUUGGACAUCAUCUCCCGGCUUCAGGCAGAUUCUUCAGCUUCCAUUGCAGCUCCAACACCCUCCUGAUAUGGACUCCCAUGAGACACUGCAGUGAGCUCCAGACCUUUGACUGGAAGCUUCAGACUCUAGUGUACAAACAAACCCUCUGCACUCUUCCACAUAUGACUCUGUGGUAGGCCACUGUAAGCCAAUCUUGUAAAUUCUUAUAUACUUGUGUAUCUUAUAUCUGUUUCUGUAAUAAACACUGACUGAUACAGAAAGUUCUUGCCUAUGUGUAUGUCUUCUAGUGUUUUAUUUAUUUUAUCUUGUAGCACAUUAAGUGUAUCUGUUUUUAAUAUUUAGAUCUUUGAUCCAUUUGAUUUUGGUUCAGUACAUGGACCUCAAUUCAAUCUUCUGCAUGAGGAUAGC
RNAcentral lists this long non-coding RNA (502 nucleotides) under Heterocephalus glaber (naked mole-rat). Its description in RNAcentral is "lncRNA (ENSHGLG00000039063.1)". The record is from RNAcentral. Lineage: Eukaryota; Metazoa; Chordata; Mammalia; Rodentia; Bathyergidae.